CAGGGCUGUUAUAGGGGUCAAUCCAGGCCUGGUUUACUGGACAGUACAUUACUAAGGACUGAGUGGAAGGGCAAGAGGAAAAAGUACUAGUAGUGGGAGUGUAAAGACAACGGAGGAGACUGUAAUAACAGAAGGGUAGAGGUUGUAAUAGAAGACAACAGAGGAGAGGAAGAGGUAAUGUGGAGAGGUAAUGCGGAGAGGGAGAGGUAAUACGGAGAGGUAAUGCAAAGCGGGAGAGGUGAGAGGGAGAGGUAAUGCGGAGAGGUAAUACGGAGAGGGACAGGUAAUACGGAGAGGUGAGAGGUAAUAUGGAGAGGGAGAGGUAAUACGGAGAGGUAAUACGGAGAGGUGAGAGGUAAUACGGAGAGGGAGAGGUAAUACGGAGAGGUAAUACGGAGAGGGAGAGGUAAUACGGAGAGGGAGAGGUAAUACGGAGAGGGAGAGGUAAUACGGAGAGGUGAGAGGUAAUACGGAGAGGGAGAGGUAAUACGGAGAGGUAAUACGGAGAGGUAAGAGGUAAUACGGAGAGGUGAGAGGUAAUACGGAGAGGGAGAGGUAAUACGGAGAGGUAAUACGGAGAGGGAGAGGUAAUACGGAGAGGGACAGGUAAUACGGAGAGGUAAGAGGUAAUAUGGAGAGGGAGAGGUAAUACGGAGAGGUAAUACGGAGAGGUAAGAGGUAAUAUGGAGAGGGAGAGGUAAUACGGAGAGGUAAUACGGAGAGGUAAUACGGAGAGGUAAGAGGUAAUAUGGAGAGGGAGAGGUAAUACGGAG
Oncorhynchus tshawytscha (Chinook salmon) is the source of this 773-nucleotide long non-coding RNA. The record is from Ensembl. Lineage: Eukaryota; Metazoa; Chordata; Actinopteri; Salmoniformes; Salmonidae.